This 464-nucleotide ribosomal RNA is filed under the name uncultured bacterium. RNAcentral describes it as "partial 16S ribosomal RNA". It matches the Rfam family "Bacterial small subunit ribosomal RNA", at positions 339 to 795 of the family's 1533-position model. The record is from RNAcentral.
CUACGGGUUGCUCCAGUGGGGAAUAUUGCACAAUGGGCGCAAGCCUGAUGCAGCCAUGCCGCGUGUAUGAAGAAGGCCUUCGGGUUGUAAAGUACUUUCAGCGGGGAGGAAGGGAGUAAAGUUAAUACCUUUGCUCAUUGACGUUACCCGCAGAAGAAGCACCGGCUAAGUCCGUGCCAGCAGCCGCGGUAAUACGGAGGGUGCAAGCGUUAAUCGGAAUUACUGGGCGUAAAGCGCACGCAGGCGGUUUGUUAAGUCAGAUGUGAAAUCCCCGGGCCCAACCUGGGAACUGCAUCUGAUACUGGCAAGCUUGAGUCUCGUAGAGGGGGGUAGAAUUCCAGGUGUAGCGGUGAAAUGCGUAGAGAUCUGGAGGAAUACCGGUGGCGAAGGCGGCCCCCUGGACGAAGACUGACGCUCAGGUGCGAAAGCGUGGGGAGCAAACAGGAUUAGAUACCCCCGUAGUC